GUCGGUGGUUGAUGACGGUGAGGAAACGCCCGGUCCCCUUUUCGAACCCGGAAGCUAAGCUCAUUCGUGCUGAUGGUACUGCACUCGGGAGGGUGUGGGAGAGUAGGUUGCUGCCGAUA
This is a ribosomal RNA of Corynebacterium uterequi, 119 nucleotides long. The record is from Rfam. Lineage: Bacteria; Bacillati; Actinomycetota; Actinomycetes; Mycobacteriales; Corynebacteriaceae.